RNAcentral lists this ribosomal RNA (773 nucleotides) under uncultured Neocallimastigales. RNAcentral's name for it is "partial large subunit ribosomal RNA". The stretch from base 3 to 662 matches the Rfam family "Eukaryotic large subunit ribosomal RNA", at positions 24 to 664 of the family's 3401-position model. The record is from RNAcentral. Lineage: Eukaryota; Fungi; Neocallimastigomycota; Neocallimastigomycetes; Neocallimastigales.
UACACGCUGUGACUAGCAUAUCAAUAAGCGGAGGAAAAGAAACUAACAAGGAUUCCCUCAGUAACGGCGAGUGAAGCGGGAAGAGCUCAAAUUUGAAAUCUUGAAAGGUCACCUUUCACGAAUUGUAGUUUAAAGAAGUGUUUUCUGUUACGAUCGUAAUAUAAGUUCUUUGGAAUAGGACAUCACAGAGGGUGAGAAUCCCGUCUAUGAUUGCGAUUUGUAGCUUUGUGAUACACUUUCAAAGAGUCGGGUUGUUUGGGAAUGCAGCCCAAAACGGGAGGUAAAUUUCUUCUAAGGCUAAAUAUUGGCGAGAGACCGAUAGCGAACAAGUACCGUGAGGGAAAGAUGAAAAGAACUUUGAAAAGAGAGUUAAAGCUAGUACGUGAAAUCGUCAAAAGGGAAGCGUUUAACACCAGUGUUGUUCUCUGAAAAUCAACCUCUGUUAGCUUUAUGCAUGUUUGUUUAGACCUAAUCAGCUAUCUUGCAUGUUCUAUUGUUUGCAGUGGUGCACUUUUCAGUUUACAGGUCAACAUCAGUUUUUUUUACCGUAAAAAAGUUAAAGAAAGGUAGCUCAUGGCUCCGGUCGUGAGUGUUAUAGUCUUUUUCCUAUGCGGUAGGAGAGACUGAGGUCUGCAGUGUAGGCUAUUUGGCUAGAUACUCAGGUGCUAUGUGAGUACCAUUUCAUAAACAACUUGUUGAUUAUGUUUUGUCUAUUGCAUACUCGCUUGUACUAUCAUACCUACGCUUAGGAUGUUGAGUAGCGACAUACGCAC